Populus euphratica (Euphrates poplar) is the source of this 355-nucleotide long non-coding RNA. RefSeq lists it as uncharacterized. The record is from RefSeq and is a predicted model, not a curated record. The transcript is spliced from 3 exons. Lineage: Eukaryota; Viridiplantae; Streptophyta; Magnoliopsida; Malpighiales; Salicaceae.
UGAUUUAUUGACAUGGAAUGAAUAAAUAAUUGCAUACAGGUCAGAAAUAGACGCAUACCAAAUGGAGUGGAGGAGAGGAGGUGGCUCUGCCAUUCUUCCUGAAACAUGAAGGUGAUGACGGGAAGCUUGAAACUCCCACAGCUCCACCUCUUGUUGUCAUAUUUUGAAGUUUUCUUAAUAACCCUAGGAUUUCUCAGUAUCGUGGUCUCUGCGUUUUUUCAAUGACCACUCAUUUAUCCUUUCAUUAUUGUUAUUAUUAUUGUUAUUAUUAUUUCACUUGCUCUUUAUAUGGGAAGAAAAACAGACUGAAUGGAGGGCUAAUCGUAUACAAACUGGAAGAGAAGCAGCAGUGAGG